This 63-nucleotide transfer RNA is filed under the name Dryococelus australis. Its description in RNAcentral is "tRNA-OTHER". Lineage: Eukaryota; Metazoa; Arthropoda; Insecta; Phasmatodea; Phasmatidae. The record is from RNAcentral.
AUCGGUACAGCAUGGUACUUGGCUCUCACCCAGGAAGCCCGGGUUCGAUUCCCGGUGCCGGAA